CCUACGGGUGGCUGCAGUGGGGAAUAUUGGACAAUGGGGGCAACCCUGAUCCAGCCAUGCCGCGUGUGUGAAGAAGGCCCUCGGGUUGUAAAGCACUUUCAGUGAGGAAGAACGCCUGGUGGUUAAUACCCAUCAGGAAAGACAUCACUCACAGAAGAAGCACCGGCUAACUCCGUGCCAGCAGCCGCGGUAAUACGGAGGGUGCGAGCGUUAAUCGGAAUUACUGGGCGUAAAGCGCGCGUAGGUGGCUUGAUAAGCCGGUUGUGAAAGCCCCGGGCUCAACCUGGGAACGGCAUCCGGAACUGUCAAGCUAGAGUGCAGGAGAGGAAGGUAGAAUUCCCGGUGUAGCGGUGAAAUGCGUAGAGAUCGGGAGGAAUACCAGUGGCGAAGGCGGCCUUCUGGACUGUCACUGACACUGAGGUGCGAAAGCGUGGGUAGCAAACAGGAUUAGAUACCCUUGUAGUC
RNAcentral lists this ribosomal RNA (465 nucleotides) under Vreelandella stevensii. RNAcentral's name for it is "partial 16S ribosomal RNA". It matches the Rfam family "Bacterial small subunit ribosomal RNA", at positions 338 to 795 of the family's 1533-position model. Lineage: Bacteria; Pseudomonadati; Pseudomonadota; Gammaproteobacteria; Oceanospirillales; Halomonadaceae. The record is from RNAcentral.